AACGAACGCUGGCGGCAGGCCUAACACAUGCAAGUCGAGCGAGACCUUCGGGUCUAGCGGCGGACGGGUGAGUAACGCGUGGGAACGUGCCCUUUUCUGCGGAAUAGCCUCGGGAAACUGAGCGUAAUACCGCAUACGCCCUUUGGGGGAAAGAUUUAUCGGAAAAGGAUCGGCCCGCGUUGGAUUAGGUAGUUGGUGGGGUAAUGGCCUACCAAGCCUACGAUCCAUAGCUGGUUUGAGAGGAUGAUCAGCCACACUGGGACUGAGACACGGCCCAGACUCCUACGGGAGGCAGCAGUGGGGAAUCUUAGACAAGGGGGGCAACCCUGAUCUAGCCAUGCCGCGUGAGUGAUGAAGGCCUUAGGGUUGUAAAGCUCUUUCAGCUGGGAAGAUAAUGACGGUACCAGCAGAAGAAGCCCCGGCUAACUCCGUG
RNAcentral lists this ribosomal RNA (433 nucleotides) under uncultured bacterium. Its description in RNAcentral is "partial 16S ribosomal RNA". It matches the Rfam family "Bacterial small subunit ribosomal RNA", at positions 29 to 507 of the family's 1533-position model. The record is from RNAcentral.